RNAcentral lists this ribosomal RNA (468 nucleotides) under uncultured bacterium. RNAcentral's name for it is "partial 16S ribosomal RNA". It matches the Rfam family "Bacterial small subunit ribosomal RNA", at positions 28 to 507 of the family's 1533-position model. The record is from RNAcentral.
GACGAACGCUGGCGGCGUGCUUAACACAUGCAAGUCGAACGGAAAGGCCCUGCUUUUGUGGGGUGCUCGAGUGGCGAACGGGUGAGUAACACGUGAGUAACCUGCCCUUGACUUUGGGAUAACUUCAGGAAACUGGGGCUAAUACCGUAUAGGAGCUCCUGCUGCAUGGUGGGGGGUGGAAAGUUUCGGCGGUUGGGGAUGGACUCGCGGCUUAUCAGCUUGUUGGUGGGGUAGUGGCUUACCAAGGCUUUGACGGGUAGCCGGCCUGAGAGGGUGACCGGCGACAUUGGGACUGAGAUACGGCGCAGACUCCUACGGGAGGCAGAAGUGGGGAAUAUUGCACAAUGGGCGGAAGCCUGAUGCAGCAACGCCGCGUGCGGGAUGACGGCCUUCGGGUUGUAAACCGCUUUCGCCUGUGACGAAGCGUGAGUGACGGUAAUGGGUAAAGAAGCACCGGCUAACUACGUG